This 432-nucleotide ribosomal RNA is filed under the name uncultured bacterium. RNAcentral describes it as "partial 16S ribosomal RNA". It matches the Rfam family "Bacterial small subunit ribosomal RNA", at positions 28 to 507 of the family's 1533-position model. The record is from RNAcentral.
GAUGAACGCUGGCGGUAUGCUUAACACAUGCAAGUCGAACGGUCACUUCGGUGAUAGUGGCGGACGGGUGAGUAACGCGUGAGAAUCUGUCUUCAGGUCGGGGACAACAGUUAGAAAUGACUGCUAAUACCGGAUGUGCCUUUGGGUGAAAGAUUUAUUGCCUGAAAAAGAGCUCGCGUCAGAUUAGCUAGUAGGUGGUGUAAGAGACUACCUAGGCUCCGAUCUGUAGCUGGUCUGAGAGGACGAUCAGCCACACUGGAACUGAGACACGGUCCAGACUCCUACGGGAGGCAGCAGUGGGGAAUUUUCCGCAAUGGGCGAAAGCCUGACGGAGCAAUACCGCGUGAGGGACGAAGGCUUUUGGGUCGUAAACCUCUUUUCUCAAGGAAGAUGAUGACGGUACUUGAGGAAUAAGCAGCGGCUAACUCUGUG